RNAcentral lists this ribosomal RNA (653 nucleotides) under uncultured bacterium. RNAcentral's name for it is "bacterial SSU rRNA". It matches the Rfam family "Bacterial small subunit ribosomal RNA", at positions 104 to 756 of the family's 1533-position model. The record is from RNAcentral.
GGGUGAGUAACACGUAUCCAACCUGCCGACAACACUGGGAUAGCCUUUCGAAAGAAAGAUUAAUACCGGAUGGUAUAGUUUUCCCGCAUGGGAUGAUUAUUAAAGAAUUUCGGUUGUCGAUGGGGAUGCGUUCCAUUAGGCAGUUGGCGGGGUAACGGCCCACCAAACCUACGAUGGAUAGGGGUUCUGAGAGGAAGGUCCCCCACAUUGGAACUGAGACACGGUCCAAACUCCUACGGGAGGCAGCAGUGAGGAAUAUUGGUCAAUGGACGAGAGUCUGAACCAGCCAAGUAGCGUGAAGGAUGACUGCCCUAUGGGUUGUAAACUUCUUUUAUACGGGAAUAAAGUGAGCCACGUGUGGCUUUUUGUAUGUACCGUAUGAAUAAGGAUCGGCUAACUCCGUGCCAGCAGCCGCGGUAAUACGGAGGAUCCGAGCGUUAUCCGGAUUUAUUGGGUUUAAAGGGAGCGUAGGCGGGUUGUUAAGUCAGUUGUGAAAGUUUGCGGCUCAACCGUAAAAUUGCAGUUGAUACUGGCGACCUUGAGUGCAACAGAGGUAGGCGGAAUUCGUGGUGUAGCGGUGAAAUGCUUAGAUAUCACGAAGAACUCCGAUUGCGAAGGCAGCUUACUGGAUUGUAACUGACGCUGAUGCUCGA